RNAcentral lists this ribosomal RNA (400 nucleotides) under uncultured bacterium. Its description in RNAcentral is "bacterial SSU rRNA". It matches the Rfam family "Bacterial small subunit ribosomal RNA", at positions 29 to 417 of the family's 1533-position model. The record is from RNAcentral.
AGCGAACGUUAGCGGCGGGCCUAACACAUGCAAGUCGAGCGAGAAAAGGGCUUCGGCUCUUAGUAAAGCGGCGGACGGGUGAGUAACACGUAGGUAAUCUUCCCUUGAGCGGGGGACAACGAGCCGAAAGGCUCGCUAAUACCGCAUAAGUUUCCCGGGACUCUGGUUCUGGGAAGGAAAGCUAGGCCGCAAGGUCCGGCACUCGAGGAGGAGCCUGCGUCGCAUCAGCUAGUUGGUGGGGUAACGGCCACCAAGGCGAAGACGCGUAGCUGGUCUGAGAGGAUGAUCAGCCACACUGGGACUGAGACACGGCCCAGACUCCUACGGGAGGCAGCAGUGGGGAAUAUUGGACAAUGGGCGCAAGCCUGAUCCAGCCACGCCGCGUGAGUGAUGAAGGCCU